RNAcentral lists this long non-coding RNA (1285 nucleotides) under Phascolarctos cinereus (koala). RNAcentral describes it as "lncRNA (ENSPCIG00000031043.1)". Lineage: Eukaryota; Metazoa; Chordata; Mammalia; Diprotodontia; Phascolarctidae. The record is from RNAcentral.
GGGCGGGAUUUUUGGACACCAAAAACGAAAGUCUACACUGGAACAUAAAUAGAAGCCACAUGAGAGAUAUUAGAACUCACACUCACACUCAGGCUCACCAACACACACACAUACUCUGGCGCCUAGCAGAGUCCUGUGGGUUUCUCUGCAAUCCAAUCCACUGUUUGUUGGGAAAUCUGCUCAGAGGAUACCAUGAGAGGCCUCCUGUUCCUCAGCCUGCUCCUUCUCUGUACCACCGACCUAGCCUGGAGCGGUACCAACGACGCAGAAGACUGCUGCCUGUCUGUUACCAGCCUCAUCAUCCCCCGCCACAUCGUGUGUGCUUAUCGCCGUCUCAGCCCAGAGAACGGCUGCCGACUGCCCGCAGUAGUGUGAGUGAGCCGUAGCGGGGGUCCAUCCUUCCACUCCUUCCCUUCCCAGUCUUCUCUCCAUGGCCCAUGUGCUUCCAGUCACUGUAAGCCCACAUCUGCCGCCAAAAAACAAUUCCUGGCGCAUGAACUUCAUCCACCCCGGCCUCUUGCAAUUUCGAUUUCUAUCUCUGUUUUGGGUUCUGGUCUCGUCCCUACACCUGCCCGUAUCUCUGCCUCUUUAUCAGCCUUGGGGGAUGCAUCUGCCAGCUAAAAGGGAGUGCUUACUUCCUUCCAACCUCUGACCCUAGGUUCACUACACAGAAAUGUCACCAGCUCUGUGCUCCCCCCUGAACGGCUUUGGGUGAAACGUCUCAUUAAGAGACUGGAUAAAAACGAUUCCCAGGUAAGCACCUUCCCAUCCAGUUCUCAAUCCUAGUCCCACUCCUCCCCAAAUUCAAUCCAAGUCUCAGUCCUCCCUUUUCCCAUACCCCUCAAGUCUCCUCCCUUUAGUAACAUCAAGUGACCCUCAAGGACCUCCACUGACCCCCUAGUGACCUUCAAUGACGCCCGGUAACCCUAGAUCAUUUUUCCUCUUCCUUCAGUACAAGUGCAACUGCAGUUAGUUUUAGGCACAGGACAAGAUGAGGAAAGAAUUUGGACAGCAGGAUGGAAGUAUUUGAUCCAGCAGCCGAUAUGAGAGGAGGUCAUGAUGCCCCAGGACUGAUGAGGAAAGAGAAUCCAAGAAUCUAGCCCUCAGCUGCAGCCUGGAACUGAGAUGGGGUUGCUGGGGGGGUGGGGGUGGGGGUGAGGGAGAGAGGACAAAGAGUAGUUUCUGAGGUGUGAGCUUGAGUGUGAGUGUGAGUACUCAAGGCUGUGCAACACAGGCUCUGGGACCAUUUAAUAAAGGGUUUGAUGCUGGAAGUGGAAUGACUUUA